RNAcentral lists this ribosomal RNA (358 nucleotides) under uncultured Desulfobulbus sp. Its description in RNAcentral is "bacterial SSU rRNA". It matches the Rfam family "Bacterial small subunit ribosomal RNA", at positions 1024 to 1382 of the family's 1533-position model. The record is from RNAcentral. Lineage: Bacteria; Pseudomonadati; Thermodesulfobacteriota; Desulfobulbia; Desulfobulbales; Desulfobulbaceae.
AAGUCUGGAGACAGGUGCUGCAUGGCUGUCGUCAGCUCGUGUCGUGAGAUGUUGGGUUAAGUCCCGCAACGAGCGCAACCCUUGCCUUUAGUUGCCAGCAGUUCGGCUGGGCACUCUAAAGGGACUGCCGGUGUUAAACCGGAGGAAGGUGGGGAUGACGUCAAGUCCUCAUGGCCUUUAUGACCAGGGCUACACACGUACUACAAUGGCCGAUACAAAGGGCAGCGACACUGCGAGGUGAAGCCAAUCCCGUAAAAUCGGUCUCAGUCCGGAUUGGAGUCUGCAACUCGACUCCAUGAAGUUGGAAUCGCUAGUAAUCGUGGAUCAGCAUGCCACGGUGAAUACGUUCCCGGGCCUU